CAAAGAUUACAUGAAUUAGACAUUGAAAUAUAAGAUAGAAAACACCUAAAAUCGUUCAACAACUCAGAAUGAAGAGCCAAACAAUUGUAGAGAAUCUGUCCCCUUUCCUUGCUUGCGGCAGAUUGGGUGGUGACACUUCCUGGAUUGUUUUGAUGAUGUAGAAUGGAAUUUAGGGGGUGUAGAGGCACGGCAAGGGGUGUAGGAUGAGUGUGGAUGAGUGUUUGAUGGGUGGAAGGUGGUGGAGAGCUCGGCAAAGGUGAUGGAUGGGUGCAGCAGAUUGUAGACUAGGGAUUUCUGGAAUGUAGAAUGAAUAUGGCAGAUCGUGAUUCGGCCAAGAGGUUAUAAUGUGUAUAUAUAGGCAUCCAAAACCCUAGGGCAAUUAGAUUAGGGCCUCUAAAACCCAAAUCCAUCAGAAAUUAGGUUAAAACAAUCAGAUUUUUAGUGGGGAAAAGGCCUAGGGUGCGGCUGGUUUUGCUAGGGUUAGAGAUGGGCCUUCUAGAAUGCCUUGCAAGGCAAGGAAAUCAGGUAUUCUAGAAGGCUAGGGGCGGCAAAGGGUUAAGGUCCACAAGGAAUUAGGGUUUAGGUCCAUUUGGUUGUAGAAAGGGAUGUGUAUAACCCAAAUCCACAAGGAAAGGGCCUAACAAGUCAGAAUUCAAGAGAGAUUGGGCUAGGAAGGUGCGGCUCCAAUUUAGAACAAUAGAAACUCUCGAAAAUGGAAACCUCCAAGAAUAGAAACUUCCAACUUUAGAAACUUUGGUUGCCAAUUCCGACUUCUUUGUUCUUCACUUUCAUUUCUUCAUUUCUUAAGCUCCUUUGACCUUCAACUCGUCCAUUCCUUGUGCUCCAAGCAUGUACUUUCCAAUCUAAGCUCCAUUUUGCUCCACAAGGCUCCAAUUUGCAUCCUUUUAUGUAAUAUGCCCUUAAACCUGAAAACAUAUGAAACUAGCUUAAAAGACUACUUUAAACUAAGAAAACAUAACGAAAAUGCAUAAGAACUAGUUAACUAAGGUGCAUAAAUAUGCUCCUAUCAAAUUCCCCCACACUUAGCUUUUGCUAGUCCUCGAGCAAAACAAAGAACAAAACGAAACAAAACAAAUAAAACACAACCUAAACCUUCCAACAUUUGCCUCAGGGAUUUCCAAUGCACAUGACAUGUUAAAAAUCAUCAUCCCCACAGAUUUGAGUCAUCUUUACAUUUGAGCACAUACUUAAUCAUAGUCACCACUUACUAGUUCACAGUUAACCAAUUUAAACAAUGUUUUGAAUGUAGUAACAUGCAUUAGAGAAAUCACUCAAUUCCUUACAAGAUAUGCACUCAAUUUUCACUCAGAUUUUCUAACUACACACCCUAUACUAGUUAUAUGUGAGAAGAUUAAUGUAGAUAUGAAAACGAAUGCUCACAUAUAUGUAUUACCAAGAAAUCAAUUUCUGGAGUUAAUAAGCAUGUUUAGAUAUGAUCUCAUGAAUGGAAUGCUACUACUUAGAUGCGAGAACCAGGGACACCAUAUGCUCAUACCAAAAUCAAACUCCACAAAUUGAAACACAUAACACUCAAGAUGGAAGUCAAGGGUUGUAAUGGGGCUUGGGGUAUUGGUUAACAAAGAAUGGUAAGGGAAAACAAACGUUCUUAAAGCAAUAGUAAGCAAAGCAAUGAAAUCUAGACUUAGAAUUCACUUUAGAAUGCAGAAAUCACUUUUAGACAUAAGGGGAAGAUUCAAGCAAUAUUUAGGGCCGAAUUCGAUGUUUUGGACCCUUUCUUCAACAAACAAUACUUUGGGACUCUUUUUCACAUCUUUCCAACUCCUUUUCAUUCUUUUCACACACUUUUUCUUUUUCUUUUUCCACGAAUUUCAUUUCAUUUUUUUUUUCUUCUUUUUUUUCUUUUCUUGCCUCAUUCAAGACUUUGGCACACCCACAACAAAACUCACUUCCCCCACACUUGUUUUCUGCCAACAAUGACCAAAAGGAAUUCAUUUUGAGUCAUUCAUUAGUAUGCUUCAAGAACAAAGGUAUGGGUGGUCCUAAUCUAGGCCUCGUGAGGGUAAUGUGGGUUAACAAAGAAAAGGGCUAAACAAGGCUCAAUGGGGUUAAAACCUACAAAACGUAAUGACAUAGGGGAUUCACGGCUUUUUGGUUAUGGUGGUGGUAACUACACAACUUCAUCUUGAAUAUGUGUUAUGCAAUUCAAUAACAUGUUUUGAAUGAAUUUGGCAUGAGUUCUAGCAUUUGGAACUAAAUGAUGAAACGCCUUCUAAGUAAUAACCAAGCAAAGAAUAAUGAGAUCAUGCAACGACUUUAGAAAACAACAAUGCAUAGAUUUUAACUCUCCAAAUAAACGUUUAGGCUCAAGUCUCACAAGGUUGUAGCGUUUGUUUGAGUUCCUUCCUUCAAGCAUGUUACAAAAACUAAUUUUUUUUCUUUAUGAUUACAUGUGAAUUCAUAAGUUAUAACCACAAUCAAGCAUAAACAAAGAGUAAAUCAAACUUUCAUCCAUGUUAAUCAUUCUCUUUAACAGCCAUGCAAUUACAAACCGAAUCCUCAUCAUUGUGUUGGAAGGUACCCUAAGACACAAACAAACACACAAAAACAAAUCAAAACAACUCUUUUUGGUUUUUUUUUCAAAACAAUUUUUCAAUUUUUUUCUGGGAUUUUCGGAUUUUUAGAACAACACAUACUAAAACACACCAAAACAGCCUAAAAACACCUAAAAACAGCAACGAACAACGUUUGAAAUUAUGGGUGAUAAAACCCUACGAAUUUGUAUCAAAACACUUUGGUUACCCCCCACACUUAAAUCAAACAUUGUCCUCAAUGUUUCAAGCAUAAACUAACACAAAUAACCAACAAGCAAAGAAAACAACAACCAAACAAUCUAAAUGACAGAAACGAAAUAGCAACAAAGAGAAAGGUUUAGGAACACA
Molecule: long non-coding RNA, 2921 nt
Filed under: Malus domestica (apple)
Lineage: Eukaryota; Viridiplantae; Streptophyta; Magnoliopsida; Rosales; Rosaceae
Description: long non-coding RNA (MDOM_LNC018164)
Source: RNAcentral